Molecule: ribosomal RNA, 1066 nt
Filed under: Lactiplantibacillus sp.
Lineage: Bacteria; Bacillati; Bacillota; Bacilli; Lactobacillales; Lactobacillaceae
Description: bacterial SSU rRNA
Rfam family: Bacterial small subunit ribosomal RNA
Source: RNAcentral
GGAGGGCGGCUCUAUAAUGCAGUCGAACGAACUCUGGUAUUGAUUGGUGCUUGCAUCAUGAUUUACAUUUGAGUGAGUGGCGAACUGGUGAGUAACACGUGGGAAACCUGCCCAGAAGCGGGGGAUAACACCUGGAAACAGAUGCUAAUACCGCAUAACAACUUGGACCGCAUGGUCCGAGUUUGAAAGAUGGCUUCGGCUAUCACUUUUGGAUGGUCCCGCGGCGUAUUAGCUAGAUGGUGGGGUAACGGCUCACCAUGGCAAUGAUACGUAGCCGACCUGAGAGGGUAAUCGGCCACAUUGGGACUGAGACACGGCCCAAACUCCUACGGGAGGCAGCAGUAGGGAAUCUUCCACAAUGGACGAAAGUCUGAUGGAGCAACGCCGCGUGAGUGAAGAAGGGUUUCGGCUCGUAAAACUCUGUUGUUAAAGAAGAACAUAUCUGAGAGUAACUGUUCAGGUAUUGACGGUAUUUAACCAGAAAGCCACGGCUAACUACGUGCCAGCAGCCGCGGUAAUACGUAGGUGGCAAGCGUUGUCCGGAUUUAUUGGGCGUAAAGCGAGCGCAGGCGGUUUUUUAAGUCUGAUGUGAAAGCCUUCGGCUCAACCGAAGAAGUGCAUCGGAAACUGGGAAACUUGAGUGCAGAAGAGGACAGUGGAACUCCAUGUGUAGCGGUGAAAUGCGUAGAUAUAUGGAAGAACACCAGUGGCGAAGGCGGCUGUCUGGUCUGUAACUGACGCUGAGGCUCGAAAGUAUGGGUAGCAAACAGGAUUAGAUACCCUGGUAGUCCAUACCGUAAACGAUGAAUGCUAAGUGUUGGAGGGUUUCCGCCCUUCAGUGCUGCAGCUAACGCAUUAAGCAUUCCGCCUGGGGAGUACGGCCGCAAAGGCUGAAACUCAAAGGAAUUGACAGGGGCCCGCACAAGCGGUGGAGCAUGUGGUUUAAUUCGAAGCUACGCGAAGAACCUUACCAGUCUUGACAUACUAUGCAAAUCUAAGAGAUUAGACGUUCCCUUCGGGACAUGGAUACAGGGGGUGCAUGGUUGUCGUCAGCUCGUGUCGUGAG